Long non-coding RNA from Herpailurus yagouaroundi (jaguarundi), 1108 nucleotides. RefSeq lists it as uncharacterized. The transcript has 2 exons. The record is from RefSeq and is a predicted model, not a curated record. NCBI's taxonomy places the organism in Eukaryota, Metazoa, Chordata, Mammalia, Carnivora, Felidae.
UUUACACAUUAUCCCUCAGACCUAUUUACUUUGGCCUCAAGCUUUUUCUUAUUGACUUAAGAGUCAGAUACUCAUGACUUUUGAUGUGCACGAAAGAACAAACUGGACUGGAACACGUCUGUUUUUGGUUUCAGCACCCCUCUCUUUUGAGAACUACCAUCCUUGAAGGUGUAUGGCUUCAUCUUGUUUUCUUUAGGUGCUUGGGACCAUUCACUGUGAAUAUGCAAGCUCAUUUAUUUAUGACCCUUCAGAUCACAACUCUGUUCUCUGCAUUUCAAGGCAGGCUUUCUCCAUGUGGUGACAAAAAUGGCUGCAGUGAGCCCAAGACUCCUCUGUUUUCUGCUGAAUAAUUGCAGCCCAAAGAGACCAUCCCCUUCUAUUUGAGCAAAGUCUUGAGGUUGAUUCUCAUUGGACCUCUUUGGGUCACAUGUCACGCCUCAACCACUGAACCACUUACUUUCUACAAGGGAAUGGACCAUGCUAACUGGUCAAACUGGUGGGCUCUUAUCCCCUAGAAAAACAUGGUGUGGAAGGUGAUGGUGAGAGGUGAUCCAUCAACUCAUGUGGUUCAAGAGAGAGUGGGGGGCAGGGCUUCCAGAGGAAUAUCAGGUGCUGUUAUUAGAAAGGAGAACAGUUAUGGGCAGGCAAAACCAGCAGUUACCAUUACAACAGCGUUUUUCAAUCCCACAGUACACUGCAGUCACCUGGGGGAACUUUCAGACAAGACCACCACCAGUAGUGAUCUACUUGGUCUGAGGUGUGGCCUGGGCAUCAGUAGUGGUUUAAACUCUCCAGGUCAUUCUAACAAACAGCUAAGUCAAAGAUUGCUGCAGUAGGGCUAUUAAUAGCUAAUUAAGCCUUAACCCUGGGGAAUUCCUUGAAGUGCUAUCCAUCACUCUAAAGGACUGCAUCUCUCAGGGUAGAGUUUUAAACACUGGAGAAAGGAGUCUGUGUGGUGCAGUAGAUGUGGGAGUGAACUGGGGUAGACAGACAGGAAGCUCUGAUUGCCCCCAAUUCGAACUACAUUAGCAACCAUCUGCUCUGUACACAAGCUGCCAGCUGUGAUCACGGCAAAAAUUAAAUUUUGAGAAACCUUUUGGUCUCCAAA